Non-coding RNA from Monosiga brevicollis, 72 nucleotides. NCBI's taxonomy places the organism in Eukaryota, Choanoflagellata, Craspedida, Salpingoecidae. The record is from Rfam.
UUGUCUGUAGCUCAGAGGUAGAGCAUUAGUCUUCUAAACUAUUGGUCGAGAGUUCGAUUCUCUCCAGACAAU